Molecule: ribosomal RNA, 824 nt
Filed under: uncultured bacterium
Lineage: Bacteria
Description: bacterial SSU rRNA
Rfam family: Bacterial small subunit ribosomal RNA
Source: RNAcentral
CAUGCAGUCGAGCGGCAGCGACACAUUGACCCUUCGGGGGAUUUGUUGGGCGGCGAGCGGCGGACGGGUGAGUAAUGCCUGGGAACAUGCCUUAGUGUGGGGGAUAACCAUUGGAAACGAUGGCUAAUACCGCAUAAUCUCUACGGAGCAAAGAGGGGGACCUUCGGGCCUCUCGCGCUAAGAUUGGCCCAGGUGGGAUUAGCUAGUAGGUGGGGUAACGGCUCACCUAGGCGACGAUCCCUAGCUGGUCUGAGAGGAUGAUCAGCCACACUGGAACUGAGACACGGUCCAGACUCCUACGGGAGGCAGCAGUGGGGAAUAUUGCACAAUGGGGGAAACCCUGAUGCAGCCAUGCCGCGUGUGUGAAGAAGGCCUUCGGGUUGUAAAGCACUUUCAGCAGUGAGGAAGGCGGUAUCGUUAACAGCGGUAUUGUUUGACGUUAGCUGCAGAAGAAGCACCGGCUAACUCCGUGCCAGCAGCCGCGGUAAUACGGAGGGUGCGAGCGUUAAUCGGAAUUACUGGGCGUAAAGCGCAUGCAGGCGGCUUGUUAAGCCAGAUGUGAAAGCCCGGGGCUCAACCUCGGAAUCGCAUUUGGAACUGGUAGGCUAGAGUCUUGUAGAGGGGGGUAGAAUUUCAGGUGUAGCGGGUGAAAUGCGUAGAGAUCUGAAGGAAUACCGGGUGGCGAAGGCGGCCCUGGACAAAGACUGACGCUCAGAUGCGAAAGCGGUGGGGAGCAAACAGGAUUGGAUACCCUGGUAGUCACGCGUAACGAUGUCUACUUGAGGUUGGUGUUCUUGAACACUGGCUUUCGGAGCCUAACGCGG